Populus trichocarpa (black cottonwood) is the source of this 156-nucleotide non-coding RNA. The record is from Rfam. NCBI's taxonomy places the organism in Eukaryota, Viridiplantae, Streptophyta, Magnoliopsida, Malpighiales, Salicaceae.
UCUAGAACUCGAGAUAUAGGCUGAACAUUGAACAAUGUCUGGGCUGCAGAACAGAUUCCGACUUCUCCGAUGUUGCUACCAUUUGAACUCGAAAAUAACACUUUUAAAUCUUGGACUCUUCAUGAAAGUCUUAGGCUUCUAUCUUAGCUUUCCAUA